CGGGACCUAAUACAUGCAAGUCGAGCGGACCGACGGGAGCUUGCUCCCUUAGGUCAGCGGCGGACGGGUGAGUAACACGUGGGUAACCUGCCUGUAAGACUGGGAUAACUCCGGGAAACCGGGGCUAAUACCGGAUGCUUGAUUGAACCGCAUGGUUCAAUCAUAAAAGGUGGCUUUUAGCUACCACUUGCAGAUGGACCCGCGGCGCAUUAGCUAGUUGGUGAGGUAACGGCUCACCAAGGCGACGAUGCGUAGCCGACCUGAGAGGGUGAUCGGCCACACUGGGACUGAGACACGGCCCAGACUCCUACGGGAGGCAGCAGUAGGGAAUCUUCCGCAAUGGACGAAAGUCUGACGGAGCAACGCCGCGUGAGUGAUGAAGGUUUUCGGAUCGUAAAACUCUGUUGUUAGGGAAGAACAAGUACCGUUCGAAUAGGGCGGCACCUUGACGGUACCUAACCAGAAAGCCACGGCUAACUACGUGCCAGCAGCCGCGGUAAUACGUAGGUGGCAAGCGUUGUCCGGAAUUAUUGGGCGUAAAGCGCGCGCAGGCGGUUUCUUAAGUCUGAUGUGAAAGCCCCCGGCUCAACCGGGGAGGGUCAUUGGAAACUGGGGAACUUGAGUGCAGAAGAGGAGAGUGGAAUUCCACGUGUAGCGGUGAAAUGCGUAGAGAUGUGGAGGAACACCAGUGGCGAAGGCGACUCUCUGGUCUGUAACUGACGCUGAGGCGCGAAAGCGUGGGGAGCGAACAGGAUUAGAUACCCUGGUAGUCCACGCCGUAAACGAUGAGUGCUAAGUGUUAGAGGGUUUCCGCCCUUUAGUGCUGCAGCAAACGCAUUAAGCACUCCGCCUGGGGAGUACGGUCGCAAGACUGAAACUCAAAGGAAUUGACGGGGGCCCGCACAAGCGGUGGAGCAUGUGGUUUAAUUCGAAGCAACGCGAAGAACCUUACCAGGUCUUGACAUCCUCUGACAACCCUAGAGAUAGGGCUUCCCCUUCG
RNAcentral lists this ribosomal RNA (1000 nucleotides) under Bacillus licheniformis. RNAcentral's name for it is "bacterial SSU rRNA". It matches the Rfam family "Bacterial small subunit ribosomal RNA", at positions 43 to 1022 of the family's 1533-position model. Lineage: Bacteria; Bacillati; Bacillota; Bacilli; Caryophanales; Bacillaceae. The record is from RNAcentral.